ACGUUCACCUGCCAGGGAAAUAGCGAGUCCAGAAAGAUGGGUUCUCGGGGUUAGGCCCAUCUACUACAGUCUGCUAUGUUGUAGUAUGUGAGAUUUCCUCACAUCCAGGAAACUCACUGCACGAUUUGUGGUAGUGGAGAACGGCAUUCGUGUUCUUCCCUG
RNAcentral lists this small nuclear RNA (162 nucleotides) under Microtus ochrogaster (prairie vole). RNAcentral describes it as "U1 spliceosomal RNA (ENSMOCG00000003382.1)". Lineage: Eukaryota; Metazoa; Chordata; Mammalia; Rodentia; Cricetidae. The record is from RNAcentral.